UGAGUAACACGUACUUAACGUGCCCUCUAGAUUGGAAUAACGCUGAGAAAUUAGCGCUAAUGCCGGAUACUUAUAAGAAUCGCAUGAUUUUUAUAUAAAAGGAGCGUUUGCUUCACUAGAGGAUCGGGGUGCGGAACAUUAGCUAGUUGGUAAGGUAAUGGCUUACCAAGGCGAUGAUGUUUAGCGGGGUUGAGAGACUGAUCCGCCACACUGGGACUGAGAUACGGCCCAGACUCCUACGGGAGGCAGCAGUAGGGAAUUUUCCACAAUGGACGAAAGUCUGAUGGAGCGACACAGCGUGUGCGAUGACGGCCUUCGGGUUGUAAAGCACUGUUAUAAGGGAAGAAAAAGCAGUAGAGGAAAUGCUAUUGCCUUGACGGUACCUUGUCAGAAAGCAACGGCUAACUAUGUGCCAGCAGCCGCGGUAAUACAUAGGUUGCAAGCGUUAUCCGGAAUUAUUGGGCGUAAAGCGUCUGUAGGUUGUUUGUUAAGUCUGACGUCAAAACUUGGGGCUCAACCCCAAAUCGCGUUGGAUACUGGCAAACUAGAGUUAUUUAGAGGUUAAUGGAAUUCCUUGUGAAGCGGUGGAAUGCGUAGAUAUAAGGAAGAACACCAACAUGGCGAAGGCAAUUAACUGGGAAUACACUGACACUGAGAGACGACAGCGUGGGGAGCGAACAGGAUUAGAUACCCUGGUAGUCCACGCCGUAAACGAUGAUGAUUAGCUGAUGGAAACCAUCGGCGCCGCUAACGCAUUAAUCAUCCGCUGAGUAGUAUGCACGCAAGUUGAAACUUAAGUAUUGACGGGAUCCGCACAGCGUUGAGCAUGUGUAUUGAGAUACGCGUAGA
RNAcentral lists this ribosomal RNA (849 nucleotides) under uncultured Mycoplasma sp. Its description in RNAcentral is "bacterial SSU rRNA". It matches the Rfam family "Bacterial small subunit ribosomal RNA", at positions 107 to 967 of the family's 1533-position model. Lineage: Bacteria; Bacillati; Mycoplasmatota; Mollicutes; Mycoplasmatales; Mycoplasmataceae. The record is from RNAcentral.